CUGUCACCAUCACAUCCUAUCUCAAUUGUGUUUCCUUCCAGGGUUUCAAAGACUGCUCCUCCCAUGAUAGCCUCGGAACACUGGAGGGUGUUUAGAAUGUGGUACUUCAUGAGAGCUGGAAGGCAAAGUAAAAAGAAUUCUGACAGGGAACCAGGAGGAAUUUCAAUGGUCCAAGAAAAUCUGCCUUUGCUUCUUGUACUUACCCUGAAAGAUGAGAGGUCAUCUUCUGCUUCAAUGAAGUCCUGAAUUGAGAGUUUCAAACAAUUGAGUCUUAAACAUAUCCAUCUUGAGCAUCAUAUUUGGAAUUUGUAAAAGUCCCAUGGAAGUCAACAAAUGCUGGCCCUCAACAAAUAUGUACAUUCGGGGACCCUUAUUCUUCUGCUUCAUGAAAGGAUCCUGUCCCUGGAUUGGCUUCGUAAUUUUCUUAGCAGUUUGGAGGCAGAUUGAAACCUUGGCAAUUAAAUCUGACUCUCAGGGUUGCAAAGUCUGACCCGGAAAUGAUAAAAACCAACCUCUGAAUAACUAUUACUCAUCUUUCGGAACUGACGUAGACAACUCUCGUUCUUUUUCCUCGUACUGGGCUGGGUGACCCACCGCCCCCAGAUGCGCCCAGGGACAUCAUCACGCUUAUCAGACUGAAUUGUUAUUUCCAGAAGAUUAACUGUUUCUUAGAUCAGUGACUCUUUGGUAUAUUAUUUUAUUCUCAGCAUGUGUAACAAUGCCUGUCACAAAAUGUGUGCCUAAUCAAUGUUUGUGAAUGAAGGAAUAAUUGUUGCAAAAGGCAAUUUACUAGGUGACUGGAUAAAAACAUGAAGAUGCUAUUUGAUCAGCGUAUCACCAAUUAAAUAAUU
Hippopotamus amphibius kiboko is the source of this 851-nucleotide long non-coding RNA. RefSeq lists it as uncharacterized. NCBI's taxonomy places the organism in Eukaryota, Metazoa, Chordata, Mammalia, Artiodactyla, Hippopotamidae. The transcript has 5 exons. The record is from RefSeq and is a predicted model, not a curated record.